Molecule: ribosomal RNA, 467 nt
Filed under: uncultured bacterium
Lineage: Bacteria
Description: partial 16S ribosomal RNA
Rfam family: Bacterial small subunit ribosomal RNA
Source: RNAcentral
GAUGAACGCUGACAGAAUGCUUAACACAUGCAAGUCAACUUGAAUUUGGGUUUUUAACUUAGGUUUGGGUGGCGGACGGGUGAGUAACGCGUAAAGAACUUGCCUCACAGCUAGGGACAACAUUUGGAAACGAAUGCUAAUACCUAAUAUUAUGAUAAUAGGGCAUCCUAUAAUUAUGAAAGCUAUAAGCGCUGUGAGAGAGCUUUGCGUCCCAUUAGCUAGUUGGAGAGGUAACGGCUCACCAAGGCGAUGAUGGGUAGCCGGCCUGAGAGGGUGAUCGGUCAGAAGGGGGAGGAGACACGGCCCUUACGCCGGAGAGAGGGAGCAAUGGAGAAUGUUGGACAAUGGACAGAGAGUGUGAUGCAGCGAUUUUGGGUGCAGGAAAAAAUAUUUCGCAAUACAAAGUGAUUUCAGGUGGGAAGAAACAAAUGCCGGUACCGACAGAAGAAGUGACGGGUAAAUACGUG